Molecule: transfer RNA, 63 nt
Filed under: Lophogaster typicus
Lineage: Eukaryota; Metazoa; Arthropoda; Malacostraca; Lophogastrida; Lophogastridae
Description: tRNA-Trp
Source: RNAcentral
AUAAUUAUAAGUUAAGAAAACUAUAAACCUUCAAAGUUUAAAUUAUAAAAUUUUAUUAAUAUG